UACGGGGGGAGCAAGCGUUGUUCGGAUUUACUGGGCGUAAAGCGUGCGCAGGCGGCUUUGCAAGACAGAUGUGAAAUCCCCGGGCUCAACCUGGGAACUGCAUUUGUGACUGCAUGGCUGGAGUGCGGCAGAGGGGGAUGGAAUUCCGCGUGUAGCAGUGAAAUGCGUAGAUAUGCGGAGGAACACCGAUGGCGAAGGCAAUCCCCUGGGCCUGCACUGACGCUCAUGCGCGAAAGCGUGGGUAGCAAACAGG
Molecule: ribosomal RNA, 253 nt
Filed under: uncultured bacterium
Lineage: Bacteria
Description: partial 16S ribosomal RNA
Rfam family: Bacterial small subunit ribosomal RNA
Source: RNAcentral